RNAcentral lists this ribosomal RNA (239 nucleotides) under uncultured bacterium. RNAcentral's name for it is "partial 16S ribosomal RNA". It matches the Rfam family "Bacterial small subunit ribosomal RNA", at positions 118 to 347 of the family's 1533-position model. The record is from RNAcentral.
UGGGUAAUCUACCCUCGGUUUCGGGAUAGCCCGGGGAAACCCGGAUUAAUACCGAAUGGCCUCUCAGGCUCUCGGGCUUGAGAGAAAAGGUAGCUUCGGCCUCUGACCGAGGAUGAGCCCGCGGCCGAUUAGCUAGUUGGUGGGGUAAUGGCCCACCAAGGCGACGAUCGGUAGCUGGUCUGAGAGGACGAUCAGCCACACUGGGACUGAGACACGGCCCAGACCUCCGUACGGGGAGG